This 72-nucleotide transfer RNA is filed under the name Danionella translucida. It matches the Rfam family "tRNA". Rfam says of the family: Transfer RNA (tRNA) molecules are approximately 80 nucleotides in length. RNAcentral also lists the same sequence under 1 other name. Lineage: Eukaryota; Metazoa; Chordata; Actinopteri; Cypriniformes; Danionidae. The record is from Rfam by way of RNAcentral.
GGGGGUAUAGCUCAGUGGUAGAGCAUUUGACUGCAGAUCAAGAUGUCUCCGGUACAAAUCUGGGUGCCCCCU